Molecule: long non-coding RNA, 357 nt
Organism: Cyprinus carpio carpio
Lineage: Eukaryota; Metazoa; Chordata; Actinopteri; Cypriniformes; Cyprinidae
Source: Ensembl
GAGACGCACGGUCCUGUGUAAUCCUCACCAUGUAAGGUUCAGACAUUAGCAGGUCUGUUAGUUUUGUGCAUUAGAUACAAACUCUCGAUGACUGUUCGUCUCUUGAUUUUAGACUUCCAAAGAGAUGCCAUGUCAGGCUGCUGAUGUGGACAAAUGCAGUUCCUUUGCAGUCAUUCCAAAGACUUCCAAAGAGAUGCCAUGUCAGGCUGCUGAUGUGGACAAAUGCAGUUCCUUUGCAGUCAUUCCAAAGACUUCCAAAGAGAUGCCAUGUCAGGCUGCUGAUGUGGACAAAUGCAGUUCCUUUGCAGUCAUUCCAAAGACUUCCAAAGAGAUGCCAUGUCAGGCUGCUGAUGUGGA